RNAcentral lists this transfer RNA (98 nucleotides) under Laccaria amethystina LaAM-08-1. It matches the Rfam family "tRNA". From Rfam's summary of the family: Transfer RNA (tRNA) molecules are approximately 80 nucleotides in length. Their secondary structure includes four short double-helical elements and three loops (D, anti-codon, and T loops). Lineage: Eukaryota; Fungi; Basidiomycota; Agaricomycetes; Agaricales; Hydnangiaceae. The record is from Rfam by way of RNAcentral.
GGGCUCUUGGCACAGGGGUAGCGCGCACGCUUUGCAUUGCAAAAUAAACAGGCCACGAUGCAUGCGUGAGGUCGUGGGUUCAAAUCCCACAGUGUCCA